Molecule: non-coding RNA, 24 nt
Filed under: Gossypium hirsutum (cotton)
Lineage: Eukaryota; Viridiplantae; Streptophyta; Magnoliopsida; Malvales; Malvaceae
Source: RNAcentral
CGGUCUGGACCUGAGACUAUAAAA